UUAACUAUUAUAUAGUACUCAGACAUCACUAAAAUUCAGAGUUUGGUCCUCUGGCAGGCACACGCAGGCAGAGCCCACGGUGGAGGCCACGGCCUGCCAAAGCAACAAGAGUAUGUAGACACGGGUGGGGUAUACCGAUUGCUCGGUAUCCUUUUUAAUGAUCCUUCCGCAGGUUCACCUACGGAAA
Molecule: unclassified non-coding RNA, 187 nt
Filed under: uncultured fungus
Lineage: Eukaryota; Fungi
Description: sequence contains ITS1
Source: RNAcentral